UACGUACCGUCCAAACGUUAUUCGGAAUCACUGGGCUUAAAGAGUUCGUAGGCGGCUCAGAAAGUUGGGUGUGAAAUCCCUCGGCUCAACCGAGGAAUAGCGCUCAAAACUACUGCGCUAGAGGGAGAUAGAGGUGAGCGGAACUGAUGGUGGAGCGGUGAAAUGCGUUGAUAUCAUCAGGAACACCGGAGGCGAAGGCGGCUCACUGGGUCUUUCCUGACGCUGAGGAACGAAAGCUAGGGGAGCGAACGGG
Molecule: ribosomal RNA, 253 nt
Filed under: uncultured bacterium
Lineage: Bacteria
Description: partial 16S ribosomal RNA
Rfam family: Bacterial small subunit ribosomal RNA
Source: RNAcentral